GGUGAGGGAUAAGGGAUAAAAGGUGCGGGAGCGCGGCUGGUACUAACCCUUGGGGUAGCUGUGGGAGCUAUCAGUCCGAGCCAGGCCUGAGCCCGCCGCACGGGAGGACACAGCAGCGAGGCGCGGUGGCGUCCCCUGCCUGGCCCUGGCAGUCUCUAUCCCUUCAUCCGUCCCGCUCCGCCCUGCACCCACCGAGGAAGUGCCUCCCUUCCCUGCACUCCCUGAACAGGUGCUUCUUUGCCUCCCCCAGCAAUCUCCUUCCCUUGCUCCAUCCUGCAUCGCCGAGCAGGGGCUUCCUUGCCUGCCGUCCGCAGCCUCCGUCCGUCCGUCCAUCUAUCCCCGCCCUGCAGCCCUACCGAGUAGGUGCUUCCGGCCUGAAAAGCACCGUGCCCGCGGCUGGCGUGUGGGUGAGGAGUGCGGAGGAUAUUCCAAUGUAUAUGUUCACUAUAUAUCUUCGUGUAUGUGUUCCAUAUAAUAGUCACACUAUAUGCGUAUGAAUAUUCCCACACUGGAGUAGGUUGCCCAGGGAUGUGGUGGAGUCACCAUCCCUGGAGGGGAUUAAGAGACGUCUGGAUCUGGCCCUGGGUGAUGCUGAAGUGUUUUAUUCACUCAUCAUUUUUAAUAUAUAUUUCCUCCUCCAUUUAUAGGAGCGGGGAAGAUCUUUGUUAUGGUGGAAUCAGCUGAUAGUGAGGAUCUGCUGAAUUUAUUCCCUUUCACCUUCCAUUAGACUCUGCUUCUAUCUAUGUAAUAAAUAGUUCAAAAUUCAAUAACAGAGAGAAAACAUCAAGUUUCUUGAGUUUGGUAUUGUUAACGUAUAAUAUGAUGAAGAUUGUUUUUCAAAAAAUGAGCCAAUAAAUAGAAUUCUAUGUUCAUUUCACUGAUGAUCUAUUCAAAAUCAAUCCCCCUUCUCUGAACCAAACCACAUUUUCACGUCCUCCUAACAGGUCCUCUAGGUCUUAUGGUGGUUCCCUUUCUAAGGGGCACAACAUAAUGUGUUCAAACUUCUGUAAAAUGGUCUUUGAAGAGAUCAAAAAAGAUAAUGGACACUUGUGACAGUUGCUUGGUUAAAUAAGAUCUCCUAAGGAUAACAUUCUUUAAUCUCUAAAGAUGACAGCUGUUGCAGUGCUAGAGGAGGUGCUGGUGUCCAUUGAGAAUGAGCUGCAAGCAGUGGAGAUGCAGAUACAGGAGCUUGUGGAUAAGCAGCAGGAACUCCUUCAAAAGAAGAUGAGAGUAAAGAAUCUGAUAAAACAGUCCUCAGGAGAUUUGGAGGCAGGUGGAAGUAAAGACACUGAAACCUCAGCUGAGGAAUGGAACAAAAAAGAUUUUCCAUGGUAUGAGAAGAUAAAGACUGCACUGCAGAGCAAAUUUAAACUCCAGAAGUUUAGAUCCCUGCAACUUGAAACAGUAAAUGCUGCAAUGGCAGGAAAGGAUAUAUUUCUUGUCAUGCCUACGGGUGGUGGAAAGAGCCUUUGUUACCAGUUACCAGCUGUCUGUUCUGAUGGUUUCACACUGGUGAUAUGUCCUUUGAUAUCUCUCAUGGAAGAUCAGCUCAUGGUUUUGGAACAGCUUGGUAUUUCUGCAGCUUUAUUAAAUGCCUCAAGCAGCAAGGAACAUGUGAAGUGGGUCCACACAGAAAUGCUGAACAGGAAUUCAAAACUGAAGCUCAUUUAUGUGACCCCUGAGAAGAUUGCAAAGAGCAAAAUGUUCAUGUCCAAGCUGGAGAAGGCUUAUCAGGCUGGGUGCCUGGCUCGCAUCGCUGUGGAUGAGGUGCAUUGCUGCAGUCAGUGGGGCCAUGACUUCAGGCCUGACUACAAGUCUCUUGGCAUCUUGAAAAGACAGUUUCCCAAUACUCCCUUGAUUGGAUUGACAGCAACAGCUACCAAUCACGUUUUAAAGGAUGCUCAGAACAUUUUGCAUGUUCAGAAGUGCAUUACCUUUACUGCUUCCUUCAACCGACCCAACCUUUACUAUGAGGUUCGGCAUAAGCCUUCAAAUAACGAAGAUUUCAUUGAGGACAUAGUUAAGACCAUUAAUGGAAGAUACAAAGGACUGUCAGGAAUUGUGUACUGUUUUUCUCAGAAGGAUUCUGAGCAAGUUACUGUGAGUUUGCAGAAACUGGGAAUCAAGGCAGGGACUUACCAUGCAAACAUGGAUGCUAAAUAUAAAACCAAAGUUCAUAAAGGAUGGGCAACAAAUCAAAUCCAGGUUGUAGUGGCAACAGUUGCUUUUGGCAUGGGAAUUGAUAAACCUGAUGUGAGGUUUGUAAUCCAUCACUCUAUGAGCAAGUCCAUGGAAAACUACUACCAAGAAAGUGGACGUGCAGGUAGAGAUGACCAAAAAGCUGACUGCAUUUUGUAUUACGGGUUCGGAGAUAUAUUCAGAAUCAGCUCAAUGGUAGUGAUGGAAAAUGUUGGCCAAGAGAAGCUGUAUGAUAUGGUAUCUUAUUGCCAAAAUAUGAACAAGUGUCGCCGGGUGCUCAUAGCCCACCACUUUGAUGAAGUGUGGGAUUCUGCAAACUGCAACAGAAUGUGUGAUAACUGCUGUAGAGAGAAUGCAUGUGAGAAGAUGGAUGUAACAGGAUACUGCAGGGAUCUAAUCAAGAUCAUUGAACAAGCUGACAGCAUGAGUGAGAAACUCACCCCACUGAAAUUAAUUGAUGCCUGGUCUGGGAAAGGUGUGUCCAAAUUCAGGGUGCCUGAAGUUACUCCACCCAAGCACCCUCGAGAGGAGCUGGAGAGAAUUAUUGCCCAUUUAUUGCUGCAGCAGUAUCUGAAGGAGGAUUUCAGCUUCACAGCCUUUGCUACAAUAUCCUACCUGAAGGUGGGACCGAAAGCCCGGCUGCUGAAAAAUGACGGACACGUGAUCACCAUAGAAGGGAUAACAAACGGGAAAAGUGUUUUCAAGGUCAAACCAUCCCAAUCUUCAAAUUUGAAAGGAAGCAGAGAAAAUGCCCAGACUGUAUCAAAGACUGUCCAAGAUUCAGUGGUGAAGAAAUCACAGGAACAUAAACGGCCCAGCUGUGGUCCUAACUUAAAAGCAAAGAAGCCUAAGCUUCAGGCAGGUGGAAAUGACCAACCAGUAGUUAUUGACUGAGUGUCACAGACUACAAUUUAGGAUCUAAUCAUGGUUGCUGCUCCAUGGACAAUGCAGUGUCAAACAAGAUCAAACAUGCUCCAGCACAGAUUUAUCUUCAACAUCUUAUCGGCACUGGCACUCACCCUCGUCUGGUUCUACAUCUUUUUCUCCUUUAGGAAAAGUCAAGGAAGUCUGCUGCAGCUGGAUAAAUUCUUGCUGUAAGUGUAUUUUCUUUACUUCACACAGUAUUUCAAUAUGUACUUUAUGAGAAAACUAAAGAAAGAUUGACAAAAUUAUAAUGAUUAGCAAUCACAAGAUUGUUAAUGGCAAGUAUUAUCUUCACCUAAAUUGACAUUACUAAACUGGAAAACCCCCCAGCAUAUAUCCCAGCCCACUAACUGAAUUCCCACACUUUCUCCUCUUUUGGCACAGAUCUAGCCAUAGCCAAUGGCAAUUUACCUGCUUUUUCAGCAUGUAUCUGAUGUUCCUUGAAAGUCUGUAACAAUUAGAUUUUUCUGGCAUGCCAGAAAAUGUAUUCAAGUUCCUCUGAGCUUACAGGAAGCGAGUUCAAAACUUAACAGAAUAAAGUAAACUAUCUUUUCUGUCUUUCAGGAUUGCAAAUCCUUUGUUUUUCUAUCAUGAAUGAAAUUCUGAUAACAAUAAUAAGUUUUUGUUCUAAAGACUGUAAAAAGAAAAAAUAUUCUGUACAUCAAUCCACAUUUCAACCAUAUUCCGAGCUCAAACCAGAAGUUGGAAAGUUACCUGUUUCUCUAAAUUAUUUUGUGAAUUUGGGCCUUGUUUUAUUCUCCACGACACAAAUACAGUUCCACCACCUUCAACAGACAAAUCACCACUGAUCAAGCUGCAAAAUAUCCUAACCAUCCUUUAGCUGGUCUACAACUGAUCAGCCCUGCAUUUUUUAAAUGUGAAACAGAUGCAAACAUCUAACAGCUAAGGAAUUCAUAAAUGAAGAAAAAAACUAUAUGUGAGGAUUUCUGCUUUAUUGCAAACAGGAAACUCUACACAAUGCUCAUGCCCACAACAUUUAAACAAAUAUGAAAGCAAGGUUACACCCAUACCUCUUUAGUCCCUUUAAGGUGUAAGCCCUCGUGCCAGUCAGGGCCUAAGGCACUGCCCAGCUUGUCACACGCUGUUGUAGGUCUUCCUUUUUCCUCGAUUCCUUAAGGAAAGAGAUGGAGUAUAUCAGAUUUAGUGUGCAUACUUCCUUGUCCACAAAAUUCAGAACAAGGAUUCUCAAUUAAUAGAAGAAUACCAUCUGGCUGCCAAAGGGGAAGAUGGAAGUGUAAUAUCUUUCUUCUUCCUGCCUGAUGUCUAGAACCAUGCUCUUCUUUUUGUGAUGAUUUUGGUCCUACAUAUGUUUGUGUGAUGUUUGUUCAUGCAGUCCUAGUUAACUGUUGUUUCUGAGACUGCAGUUUCACUCCAUCUGUAAUAAUGUUCUGUGAGGUUUCAUCUGCUCCUCCAGUAUCUUACUAGGUGACAGCUCCUUCCUAUAUAAUGGUGAGAUAGUUCACUUCAAAACAUUACAGAAAAUAGAACAAGUUCUUCAGCAGAGGGAAUACAGGGAAUAUAAAUUUGGCACAAAGGUAAGCACUUUUUUACAGUUUGCAAGUAACUGUAUUACAUUCCGUCUACAGAAAUUCAGGAUGGGUUUUCAUGUUGCUUUUUCACUCUCAGUUUUUGGAAGAAUGAAAUGUCAUUUAAGAUAACAGUAAGCCUUAUUCCAAGCUGCUAAACUGACUGAUUUUCAGACUAUCUUUAAUACAAAAUGCUGCUGCUGCAGUGUCAGAAAACUAAACCCCCCAUACCUUCCACUGUGUACUUGGUUCUUUUACACUCGAUUGGAGUCUCCCGGCUUUCAGCAGUGAGCUUUGGAAUGAGAAAUUCAGCUGCUCCUGCAUCAAAGAAAGUGUUCCCAAUGGCUUUGUCUUUGACAGCCCAGAUUACUUCACAGCCUUGAAUUUCAUACCUGUGGACAUUUAAACAAGGGAUAAAGUGACAGACUGCCUGAAAAGGAUCUGACUGUUAGCAACAUAAGCAGAAGUGUGUCAAAUUUCCUUCCAGAAGCCAGAACUAGGGGAUCCAAGACUUUCCAACCUAUCAAAUCCACUUCUAAAUAUUUACAUAAAGAACCCAUUUAAAAAUAUCCCUUCAAAUUGACAAGUCAUACUCUCACCAACACAACCUCGACUGAACUGGGGCAGGGAGUGGUGGGGGGGGUGCAGAUCAAAUUUGUAAUAGUAAUAAUUAGUAUUUCCUGCUCCCCAUAAUGAAAAAGGAGUGCAUUUCCGCUGGACUCCCACUGCUAAAACCAGGCAUUUGGAUCUUGUUUACACUAUGUGGAACAUGAACUGUAUAUUCUUGACAUCUCUGUGUCAAAGCUUCUUCUGGAGCUUUCCUAAUUUUAUGUGUCAGUAAGAGCCACUACGUUGCAAAAAAAAACCAAAACACAACUGUAAUCAGUUUUGCUACUAAAUGCUUUAAGAGAUACAAUUUUAUAAGUCAACCUUCUCCCAAACUCAUGUACACUAGAUUUAGCAUUGCAUCGUUAAAGAUUUUAUUUGAAUAUGUAUUUUUUGUUUACUUACACUAAUUCAAGGGCAAUCCCACCAUUUCCUACCACCACUAUUCUCUCAGCUUGAGCUAAAUUCUUCUGAAAAGCCUGCAUUAAGAAAGGAAAACUGUCAGUUAGAACUUAGAGCAUGUUCCCUCACACCGGUUAACUAUAUCCUUUUCAGUAUUUUCCUGCUCUUGUUUUGAUUUUCUCAGACUAUUGGUACACAUACAGUUAGGCUGAGAUCUGUAAAAGAAGCUGCUGUAACAAACAAUUUCAGUUUCACUUCAGAUUAUUUGAAAAUGUUAACUCCUUUUUUUAUCCUUGAGGUCCAACUUCAUUUGAUGAAUGGCAGUUCCCUGUUAUGGAGAAGCAGUGCUCCCCCUGCCUCCUCCGAUUCUGAAGACCUAUAGCAGUGAAACUUCACCUUUGGCUUCCAAGCUUCAUUUUUAGUCCAUUAAGUCAUUUCUCAGUGCAAAUUUUCUGUUAACAAUGAAGAGAAAAGAAAAAUCAAUUCAUCUAAGAGAAUUCAUCUAAAUCAAGACAUCUAAGAGAACAUCAGAACAUUCUUCCUUAAUGUCAUAGUAAUUUGCAGAGAUUAAAAGCUGUAAGGGGCUUCUUAAGGAACAAGCCUUCAUACCC
Molecule: RNA transcript, 6289 nt
Organism: Corvus hawaiiensis (hawaiian crow)
Lineage: Eukaryota; Metazoa; Chordata; Aves; Passeriformes; Corvidae
Gene: RECQL
Gene name: RecQ like helicase
Exons: 17
Source: RefSeq, a predicted model, not a curated record